This 409-nucleotide long non-coding RNA is filed under the name Salmo trutta (river trout). RNAcentral describes it as "lncRNA (ENSSTUG00000015878.1)". Lineage: Eukaryota; Metazoa; Chordata; Actinopteri; Salmoniformes; Salmonidae. The record is from RNAcentral.
GGACUGUGUCACACCGACAAAGACACGAGGCAGACAGGGAUGAGUUAGAGGAGCCAAAAACAGGUAGAAAGGAGGCAGACCGAAGGUGACUCAUUAUGUCAAGAAAGAGAUAGACUUUCCAACACAGAGUUUCUUGAUUGGUCAUUUUGUUCUUAUACAUUCACCAUUUUACCCGUGGUCUUCACCGGUAUCUUCAAAGUCUUUUUGGUUUUUUGGACUUGGUUUUUCUAACUUGGAGAACAGGGAUAAAGGAAGAACGCUUUGAACCACAGAUCAUUUCAACAGGUAAACAGAAUUUGAAUUGUGAAGACAACAUAAGUUUUCCUGGGAAUUGGAUAAUCAGAAAUCAAACAGAGGCAACCUGAAGCAACAGUGGAAUGGGAAGAUGAGACAUAAUCUCAACUGACAC